AACGAACGCUGGCGGCAUGCCUAACACAUGCAAGUCGAACGAGAUCUUCGGGUCUAGUGGCGCACGGGUGCGUAACGCGUGGGAAUCUGCCCUUUGGUUCGGAAUAACAGUUGGAAACGACUGCUAAUACCGGAUGAUGACGAAAGUCCAAAGUUUUAUCGCCAGAGGAUGAGCUCGCGUAGGAUUAGCUAGUUGGUGUGGUAAAGGCGAACCAAGGCGACGAUCCUUAGCUGGUCUGAGAGGAUGAGCAGCCACACUGGGACUGGGACCCGGGCCAGACUCCUACGGGAGGCAGCAGUGGGGAAUAUUGGACAGUGGGCGAAAGCCUGAGCGAGCAAUGCCGCGUGAGUGAUGAAUGCCUUAGGGUUGUAAAGCUCUUUUACCCGGGGUGGUAAUGACAGUACCGGGAGAAUAAGCUCCGGCUAACUCCGUGCCAGCCGCCGCCGUAA
Molecule: ribosomal RNA, 449 nt
Filed under: uncultured bacterium
Lineage: Bacteria
Description: partial 16S ribosomal RNA
Rfam family: Bacterial small subunit ribosomal RNA
Source: RNAcentral